GAUGAACGCUGGCGGCGUGCCUAAUACAUGCAAGUCGAGCGAACAGACGAGGAGCUUGCUCCUCUGACGUUAGCGGCGGACGGGUGAGUAACACGUGGAUAACCUACCUAUAAGACUGGGAUAACUUCGGGAAACCGGAGCUAAUACCGGAUAAUAUAUUGAACCGCAUGGUUCAAUAGUGAAAGACGGUUUUGCUGUCACUUAUAGAUGGAUCCGCGCCGCAUUAGCUAGUUGGUAAGGUAACGGCUUACCAAGGCAACGAUGCGUAGCCGACCUGAGAGGGUGAUCGGCCACACUGGAACUGAGACACGGUCCAGACUCCUACGGGAGGCAGCAGUAGGGAAUCUUCCGCAAUGGGCGAAAGCCUGACGGAGCAACGCCGCGUGAGUGAUGAAGGUCUUCGGAUCGUAAAACUCUGUUAUUAGGGAAGAACAAAUGUGUAAGUUACUAUGCACGUCUUGACGGUACCUAAUCAGAAAGCCACGGCUAACUACGUG
This 497-nucleotide ribosomal RNA is filed under the name uncultured bacterium. RNAcentral's name for it is "partial 16S ribosomal RNA". It matches the Rfam family "Bacterial small subunit ribosomal RNA", at positions 28 to 507 of the family's 1533-position model. The record is from RNAcentral.